Molecule: ribosomal RNA, 253 nt
Filed under: uncultured bacterium
Lineage: Bacteria
Description: partial 16S ribosomal RNA
Rfam family: Bacterial small subunit ribosomal RNA
Source: RNAcentral
UACGGAGGGUGCAAGCGUUGUUCGGAAUUAUUGGGCGUAAAGCGCGUGUAGGCGGUCUUUUAAGUCUGAUGUGAAAGCCCCGGGCUCAACCUGGGAAGUGCAUUGGAAACUGGAAGACUUGAGUACGGGAGAGGGCAGUGGAAUUCCUAGUGUAGGAGUGAAAUCCGUAGAUAUUAGGAGGAACACCGGUGGCGAAGGCGGCUGCCUGGACCGAUACUGACGCUGAGACGCGAAAGCGUGGGGAGCAAACAGG